Peptoniphilus sp. oral taxon 375 is the source of this 232-nucleotide non-coding RNA. Lineage: Bacteria; Bacillati; Bacillota; Tissierellia; Tissierellales; Peptoniphilaceae. The record is from Rfam.
AAAAAAGUGUUGAUUAGAAAAUAGUAGCUAUUGGUUUAGUUUUGUAGAGAGUCAAGGGUUGGUGAAACUUGAUAAACGGUCGAUAGUGAAUGGGUCUAUGAGUGCGAGGCGAAUAAAAAGUAGCUGAGACGGUUCUCCCGUUAUCGAGAUAGGAUAUGAAUGUAUCCGAUUGAGUUUCUAUAGGAAUAUAGAUAAGUAGGAUGGCACCGCGAAUAUACCAUUUGCUCCUAGG